UAAGGAAUAUUGGGCAAUGGACGCAAGUCUGACCCAGCCAUCCCGCGUGCAGGAUGACGGCGCUUCGCGUUGUAAACUGCUUUUGUGUAAGAUGAAACACCUGGAUUUAUCCGGGCUUGACGUUAUUACAAGAAUAAGCACCGGCUAACUCC
Molecule: ribosomal RNA, 152 nt
Filed under: uncultured bacterium
Lineage: Bacteria
Description: partial 16S ribosomal RNA
Rfam family: Bacterial small subunit ribosomal RNA
Source: RNAcentral